CGGGUGCACUGAUCCAGCCGGGCCUUUCCCUCUGUGGAACCCCAUGGCCUUCACUGGCUGUGGUGGGGAAACAGGACUUUUACUUUGAAAAAAUUAGAGUGCUCCAGGCAGGCCUAUGCUUGAAUACAUUAGCAUGGAAUAAUAGAAUAGGACGUGUGGUUCUAUUUUGUUGGUUUCUAGGACCGCCGUAAUGAUUAAUAGGGACAGUCGGGGGCAUCAGUAUUCAAUUGUCAGAGGUGAAAUUCUUGGAUCUAUUGAAGACUAACUACUGCGAAAGCAUUUGCCAAGGAUGUUUUCAUUGAUAAGGAACGAAAGUUAGGGGAUCGAAGACGAUCAGAUACCGUCGUAGUCUUAACUAUAAACUAUGCCGACUAGGGAUCGGACGAUGUUAUUCUUUGACGCGUUCGGCACCUUUCGAGAAAUCAAAGUGCUUGGGCUCCAGGGGGAGUAUGGUCGCAAGGCUGAAACUUAAAGAAAUUGACGGAAGGGCACCACCAGGGGUGGAACCUGCGGCUUAAUUUGACUCAACACGGGGAAACUCACCAAGUCCAGACACAGUGAGGAUUGACAGAUUGAGAGCUCUUUCUUGAUUCUGUGGGUGGUGGUGCAUGGCCGUUCUUAGUUGGUGGAGUGAUUUGUCUGCUUAAUUGCGAUAACGAACGAGACCUUAACCUGCUAAAUAGCCCGUACUGCUUUGGCAGUUCGCCGGCUUCUUAGAGGGACUAUCGG
Molecule: ribosomal RNA, 729 nt
Filed under: uncultured eukaryote
Lineage: Eukaryota
Description: SSU rRNA
Rfam family: Eukaryotic small subunit ribosomal RNA
Source: RNAcentral